UGCUAUACUGCAGUCGAACGCUUCUUUUUCCCCGGAGCUUGCUCCACCGGAAAAAGAGGAGUGGCGAACGGGUGAGUAACACGUGGGUAACCUGCCCAUCAGAAGGGGAUAACACUUGGAAACAGGUGCUAAUACCGUAUAACAAUCAAAACCGCAUGGUUUUGAUUUGAAAGGCGCUUUCGGGUGUCGCUGAUGGAUGGACCCGCGGUGCAUUAGCUAGUUGGUGAGGUAACGGCUCACCAAGGCCACGAUGCAUAGCCGACCUGAGAGGGUGAUCGGCCACAUUGGGACUGAGACACGGCCCAAACUCCUACGGGAGGCAGCAGUAGGGAAUCUUCGGCAAUGGACGAAAGUCUGACCGAGCAACGCCGCGUGAGUGAAGAAGGUUUUCGGAUCGUAAAACUCUGUUGUUAGAGAAGAACAAGGAUGAGAGUAACUGUUCAUCCCUUGACGGUAUCUAACCAGAAAGCCACGGCUAACUACGUGCCAGCAGCCGCGGUAAUACGUAGGUGGCAAGCGUUGUCCGGAUUUAUUGGGCGUAAAGCGAGCGCAGGCGGUUUCUUAAGUCUGAUGUGAAAGCCCCCGGCUCAACCGGGGAGGGUCAUUGGAAACUGGGAGACUUGAGUGCAGAAGAGGAGAGUGGAAUUCCAUGUGUAGCGGUGAAAUGCGUAGAUAUAUGGAGGAACACCAGUGGCGAAGGCGGCUCUCUGGUCUGUAACUGACGCUGAGGCUCGAAAGCGUGGGGAGCAAACAGGAUUAGAUACCCUGGUAGUCCACGCCGUAAACGAUGAGUGCUAAGUGUUG
Molecule: ribosomal RNA, 804 nt
Filed under: Enterococcus sp. C213
Lineage: Bacteria; Bacillati; Bacillota; Bacilli; Lactobacillales; Enterococcaceae
Description: bacterial SSU rRNA
Rfam family: Bacterial small subunit ribosomal RNA
Source: RNAcentral